GUUAAAGCGAAGAAAAAGGACGGAAUUAUUUCCGUGAUCCAUAGAGAAUACUCUUACCUAUAAAUGAAAACAUUGGUUGAAGCAAAAGACUGCCGUAGACGCAGGAAUGAGGGACAAAACAAAUUUAAUUCGCUUUACCAUCCGGCCGUGUCGUAAAAUGUUGUGUAAUAGAAUAUUGGCGUCCUGGCUGCUGGUUGUUUUGGACCGCGUACCACUGUGGUAGGGGGAAGGCCUCACUAGAACACUAAUGGAAAUCAGUAGUGUUAAACUUGCCAGGUUGCAACUACGGGACAUAAUAACGAAGUUUUCUUGAAGCAUCCACUUGACACGAGGAUUGGGAGAAACAGCCGGAUGAAGCAUUAAUAGUACGAAAGUUGGAGCAACGAUUCAAUUGGUUAGACGAAUAUGAAGGCGAUUCUCCUCUUUACUACACACUUAAAACUGGAUCUCGAGCUCGGCCAAAAAUCAUCCGAGUUCACUCGGCAAUUUUGGAUUCAACCGGUAUUUCAGCAAAAAAAUGCCGGUUGCCGACAGUUGUCAGAUCAUUUUGCCGAGACUUCGUCCAAAAAACUAAGCUUGACGAAUCUCGUCUCUAUUUUUUGCCGAAUUUAUCGUUAAACACUGUUGAUGCCGAGGUCAGCAAAAACAUUACUGGUAUCUCGGCACAAAUUUUACUCGUUGCCGUGUUUCGGCAAUACAGCUGUCAUUCUCAUGAACGAGUUGCCGCCAUUUUUCUUAAUGCAAAUUUAUGCGUGUUACGGGUGAGCAAACAGGAAUCGGAUACAAGUUUGGCUGACAUUUGUGCAAAUUACAAGUGUUUACAAUCCGGUAGCAGAAAAAAAUGUAGUACAGUUUGGGGGGAAGUGGCUGGAACUUAAAAAGUGUAGUUUCAAAUCGUGUGAAUACAAUAUUUUAUUUGUUUUAGGGAUAGGCAUUGACGUAAUUUUAGAUUAGAUGUUUAGCUCAAUGCCCUACUGGCGAGCAAGAUAAAGAUAAGUAUUCAAGAUUAAGUAUGAAUAAAUUUCUUUACUUACUAAAA
Molecule: long non-coding RNA, 1039 nt
Organism: Wyeomyia smithii (pitcher-plant mosquito)
Lineage: Eukaryota; Metazoa; Arthropoda; Insecta; Diptera; Culicidae
Exons: 2
Source: RefSeq, a predicted model, not a curated record